RNAcentral lists this non-coding RNA (20 nucleotides) under Rattus norvegicus (Norway rat). The record is from RNAcentral. Lineage: Eukaryota; Metazoa; Chordata; Mammalia; Rodentia; Muridae.
GAUGAUGUUGCAUCAGAUGU